RNAcentral lists this ribosomal RNA (253 nucleotides) under uncultured bacterium. Its description in RNAcentral is "partial 16S ribosomal RNA". It matches the Rfam family "Bacterial small subunit ribosomal RNA", at positions 524 to 776 of the family's 1533-position model. The record is from RNAcentral.
GACGAACCGUGCGAACGUUGUUCGGAAUCACUGGGCGUAAAGGGCGCGUAGGCGGCCUUCUAAGUCAUGCGUGAAAUCCCCGGGCUCAACCCGGGAACUGCGUCUGAUACUGGAAGGCUUGAAUCCGGGAGAGGGAUGCGGAAUUCCAGGUGUAGCGGUGAAAUGCGUAGAUAUCUGGAGGAACACCGGUGGCGAAGGCGGCAUCCUGGACCGGUAUUGACGCUGAGGCGCGAAAGCCAGGGGAGCAAACGGG